This 93-nucleotide small nucleolar RNA is filed under the name Nelumbo nucifera (sacred lotus). RNAcentral's name for it is "Small nucleolar RNA U61". It matches the Rfam family "Small nucleolar RNA U61". Lineage: Eukaryota; Viridiplantae; Streptophyta; Magnoliopsida; Proteales; Nelumbonaceae. The record is from Rfam by way of RNAcentral.
UCGCUAUGAUGAAGAUUUACGUUUGUGUACCAAAGGCGGGCUCUUCGGAGCCGUCGGUGACGGCAGCACAACCCUCUAAGAAGUUCUGAGCGG